GAGCCCCACCCACUCAGUGCCAUGGGCCAGCAGCGGCUACACCGCCGCUGGGGCUGCUUGUGUCCCCUCCCGCCUUCUCCUGCCUUUCCUCACUGCGCCCAGCCGGGCAGCUCUCAGCCCCGCUCUGUUCAGCGCUCGGGACGUCGCUGGUCCAAGGCCCUGGCUUUACUAGUUCUGGCUCCGACUAGUCAGUGCUAGCGGCGGCCUCCCCUCCUGCCAGCUUUGGCGCCAGGUGAAGCAUCUGGUUUGGAAACAUUGCUGCAAAGGGCAUGUGAACAAGGACUGUCAGAACUGGGAAGCUAAUCUGUAAAAGGUAUAUGAUGAGAAUAAAACAGGCCUUCCGUUAUUGUCUGCUGAGCAACUGGAUCCACCUUUGAGAAGUACUGUAAUCUGCCAUUGUGUUAUAGCAUAGAGAACAGCGAAACGCCCUCCCUCCUCCUCAGCACAAUCUGAUUAAGCUGGUUACUUCUUGUCCUACUUUCUGUGGACAUCGAGAACAACUGAUCACCAUCCUUUUUGUAACAGCCCUUCACAUAUUUGAAGACUCAUCAGGUUCAACCUCAAUCUUCUUUUCUCAAGAGUAAACAUGACCUCAUAGGCCAGGUUUUCAAAACUUUUUAUCAUUCUUGUUGCUCUCCUCUGGGCUUUUUCCAAUUUGUCCAUAUCCUUUUAAAAGCGUGGUGCCCAAAUCAGCACCCAAUACUCCAGGGGAGGCCGCACCAGUGUCAAGUAAAGUGGAACAAUUACCUCCCAUGUUUUACAUACGAUACUCCUGUUAAUACACCCCAGAAUGAUAUUAGCCUUCUUUGCAAGUGCAUCGCAUUUUUAAUUCAUAUUCAAUUUGCAAUCCACUAUAACCCCCCGAUAGUUUCUGCAGUACUACUGCAUAGCCAGUUAUUCUCCAUUUUGUACGUGUGCAUUUGAUUUUUCCUCCUUAAGUGUAGUACUUUGCCGCAAUAUCGCAAUAUCAAUUUCUGCCUCCACAACGCCUGCCCAGGCUAUGCUUAGAGGAACAGCUCAGACUGGUUUUUUCAUGUAAAUUUCCUUGGUUAGAGUACAUUCAGAAUUCUUUACAUUCUCUAGGCCUCUCAAAAUUGAAAACGAUUAAACUUAUUUUAAAAAAAUGAAAUCCCUAAUCAAGUUGAGAUUAGAGGAUAUUAUUAAGCAAUUAGACGUGGCAGUUAUUUCCAUUACAAAUGUGUCUCCUUGGUUCCCCUUUGUUAAAAAGAGCCCUGGGUAUGCAAGUUAUUUAGACAGUUUGUCCAAUAACAAGUUAAGGAGCUCUCAGUUUUCAAUUUAUGCAGUCAGAUUACUUAUGUCUACACUUAAACACACACAAAAAAAACCCUGUAGCAGCAAAUUUCAGAGCCCAGAUCAACUGAUUUGGGUUCAUGGGGCUUAUGUUCUGAGGCUUAAAAUAGGGGGGUACACCUUCCCACUUGGGGUGGAACCCAGGCUCUGAAAACUGGCGAGGGGGCUGGGUCUCAGAGCCUGGGUUUCAGCCCAAGCAGCAAUGCCUACACUGCUAUUUUUAGCCCCAUAGCCCAAACCCUGCUAAAGCCUGCAGUUCAUCGGGGCUCUGAGACUUGCCAACCAUGGUUCCACCUCCUCUUCCCCCAGUGGAGACAUACCCUUAGAAGGCUGAUGUAUUGACAUCAAUAAACAUAACCACCUCUGUCCAUGCCGCUCUGAGCAGGUAGACGACCUACCCAAUUAUUUAUUUUGUUGUAAUCUGUAUUGUCACUUGAGGUCAAAAUGGCUUUCCAUGUUUUUGUCAUUUUUCUAUGACCUCUCAGGAAACAGAGUAUUUAUUAGGAAAUGACACAUUUGAUCAAAGUGAUUGCCCUAUUAGCAUAGUUAGCCAAUAAAAUAAGGAAAAGGCAAGUGGCAUGGUGCAUAUAUAUGGCUUAAUGGUCUUUCGACAUUUGUAUUUAUAUUAAUAUUCUAAAAUUUUGGAUUUAGUUUUAAGUUUUACAGUAAUAUAUUUUGUUUUGGUGCACUGGUCUCUGGCUAAGUCACUGAUA
Gopherus flavomarginatus (Mexican gopher tortoise) is the source of this 2024-nucleotide long non-coding RNA. RefSeq lists it as uncharacterized. The record is from RefSeq and is a predicted model, not a curated record. The transcript has 4 exons. Lineage: Eukaryota; Metazoa; Chordata; Testudines; Testudinidae.